This is an RNA transcript of Propithecus coquereli (Coquerel's sifaka), 432 nucleotides long. It is a transcript of the gene named transcription elongation factor B polypeptide 1 pseudogene, with no coding region annotated. NCBI's taxonomy places the organism in Eukaryota, Metazoa, Chordata, Mammalia, Primates, Indriidae. The record is from RefSeq and is a predicted model, not a curated record. The transcript has a single exon.
GGUGCCUGCAGGGCUGACGAGAAGCUACUAAAGUUCCUGGGGAAGCAAAGUAGAAUUUCCUAAGAACAUAAUGGAUGGAGAGGAGAAAACCUAUGGUGGCUGUGAAGGCCCUGAUGCCAUGUAUGUCAAAUUGAUAUCUUCUGAUGGUCAUGAAUUUAUUGUAAAAAGAGAACAUACGUUAACAUCAGGAACAAUAAAAGCCAUGUUGAGUGGCCCAGGUCAGUUUGCUGAGAACGAAACCAAUGAGGUCAAUUUUAGAGAGAUCCCUUCACAUGUGCUAUCAAAAGUAUGCAUGUAUUUUACCUACAAGGUUCGCUACACUAACAGCUCCACGGAGAUUCCUGAAUUCCCAAUUGCACCUGAAAUUGCACUGGAACUGCUCAUGGCUGUGAACUUCCUAGAUUGUUAAAUAAAAUAAAUUAUAAUAAACUG